This 460-nucleotide ribosomal RNA is filed under the name uncultured bacterium. RNAcentral's name for it is "partial 16S ribosomal RNA". It matches the Rfam family "Bacterial small subunit ribosomal RNA", at positions 338 to 795 of the family's 1533-position model. The record is from RNAcentral.
CCUACGGGAGGCAGCAGUGAGGAAUAUUGGUCAAUGGACGAGAGUCUGAACCAGCCAAGUAGCGUGAAGGAUGACUGCCCUAUGGGUUGUAAACUUCUUUUAUAUGGGAAUAAAAUGUUCCACGUGUGGGAUUUUGUAUGUACCAUAUGAAUAAGGAUCGGCUAACUCCGUGCCAGCAGCCGCGGUAAUACGGCGGAUCCGAGCGUUAUCCGGAUUUAUUGGGUUUAAAGGGAGCGUAGGUGGAUUGUUAAGUCAGUUGUGAAAGUUUGCGGCUCAACCGUAAAAUUGCAGUUGAAACUGGCAGUCUUGAGUACAGUAGAGGUGGGCGGAAUUCGUGGUGUAGCGGUGAAAUGCUUAGAUAUCACGAAGAACUCCGAUUGCGAAGGCAGUUCACUGGACUGCAACUGACACUGAGGCUCGAAAGUGUGGGUAUCAAACAGGAUUAGAUACCCGAGUAGUC